Molecule: long non-coding RNA, 1213 nt
Filed under: Macaca fascicularis (crab-eating macaque)
Lineage: Eukaryota; Metazoa; Chordata; Mammalia; Primates; Cercopithecidae
Description: lncRNA (ENSMFAG00000057792.1)
Source: RNAcentral
CCUAGCUAAUUUUUGUGUUUAGUAGAGAUGGGGUUUACCAUGUUGCCCAGGCUGGUCUUGAACUCCUGACCUCAGGUGAUCCAUUCGCCUCGGCCUCCCAAAGUGCUGGGAUUACAGGUGUGAGCCACCGCACCCAGUCGAUGAUUAGGGGUUUAGAGGAGGAAUAGAGAUUUAGUGGGGUUGGUUGCAGCCAAGAGAAAUAAAUAACUUAAAAAAAACAAUGACCCUAGCUUCAAACAUGCACGCCUAACACUUGACAUUUGCCACCUUCCUUAUUAGAGACUCUCAGAUUCCUCUCUGAUGAGAUAAGCCAUCAGACAGACCCAAACCAAUGACAACAGACACUGAAUGUAGGACUGGAGGUUGGGAAGUGGGGGAAUCAUUUCCAUUUCUUUCAGCAUCUCAGACUAACAAUGAGUCAUCUGUACCUGCGACCAAUGCCUGUCCACAUGACCCUGAUACAGCCUGUGUUAUCUUUCUUUCCUCAUCAGAGACCUGGCUUCCCCAUGUGCUUGUUUAAGCCUUGUAUGGGGAGACAUCUAAUUAGGCUUAGGGACUCGGCUCUGACUCUGUGGCAGCCCUGGAGGAGCAAAGACAACUGUCUUGGCAUCUGCUCUCAGCAGACUUGCUCUCUGAAUGACUUACUGGGGAGGAAAAAGGGGGGCUGUUAUUGUCACUUACUCUCUAUAUAUGUUAAUUCUUAAAGAUCACACUAUUGCCACUAUCUAUGGGUAUGAAAUUAUUCAUGGUCCAUCCAGUGCUGCGUACAUGCUGGACUUGGCUGUAUUUGUCUUAGCAGGAGCUGGCAACAGCCUGAUGCUGACAGGAGGUCUAUGACAGCGCAAAGUUCACAGUAGCCUUCCUACUGGAGCUACCGUGGGAACGGUGACAUUCCCAAGGGGUCUCAGCUGUGACCCAGCACUGGUGCAGACAGCAUGCAAAGGUUAUCACGGCUAAAAACAGCUUCCCGAAAGGGCAGGUCAAGCAUCAGUUAUGCCUCAUUCUCAGAACAAGAUCCACUUGUGACUAGUGGUUUCAACGUUUAUUUUUCACAUGGAGAUAAGCCAAUUUCUCAUUAGCCUCUUGUUUUGUUUGUUUUGCUUUGUUUUCUCUAAGAAUUGUGGGUAAGGGUAGGGCACAGUGGCUCAUGCCUGUUAUCCCAGCACUUUGGGAGGCUAAGACAGGAAGAUCACUUGAUUGAGGUCAGGAGUUU